GGGGCCGUAGCGCAGAGGCCGACGCGCCCGCCUACGGAGCGGGAGGAGGCCGGUUCGAAUCCGGUCGGCCCCA
This 73-nucleotide transfer RNA is filed under the name Myxococcales bacterium. Its description in RNAcentral is "tRNA-Arg". It matches the Rfam family "tRNA". Rfam says of the family: Transfer RNA (tRNA) molecules are approximately 80 nucleotides in length. Lineage: Bacteria; Pseudomonadati; Myxococcota; Myxococcia; Myxococcales. The record is from RNAcentral.